Molecule: transfer RNA, 94 nt
Filed under: Scedosporium apiospermum
Lineage: Eukaryota; Fungi; Ascomycota; Sordariomycetes; Microascales; Microascaceae
Rfam family: tRNA
About the family: Transfer RNA (tRNA) molecules are approximately 80 nucleotides in length. Their secondary structure includes four short double-helical elements and three loops (D, anti-codon, and T loops).
Source: Rfam by way of RNAcentral
GCGGGGAUAGCUCAGUUGGGAGAGCGUUAGACUGAAGAAAUACUUCGGUUUCAAAGACAUCUAAAGGUCGCCGGUUCAAUCCCGGCUCACCGCA